CGGUAUCUUUCAUAACUAGCGGCAGUUGGAUAAAUUUUUUUUCCUAAAAGCAGCUGAAAAGUAGGGAAGAAAAUGCUGUUGGUUUUGUACUAGAACAAAAGUUAUUUUUGACUAAAGCACAUCUGACUUUUAGACCCUUUGGUUGGCUUUUGGCUUUUGCAAAAGCAAAAAUAGGUUGGAAAAUCCAACCAAAGGUAUCCUAAACCAGCUAAAUGUAUCUCUACUACUAAAAAGCCUAAUUGGACGACUCGCCUCGCU
RNAcentral lists this long non-coding RNA (258 nucleotides) under Setaria viridis. RNAcentral's name for it is "long non-coding RNA (SVIR_LNC003751)". The record is from RNAcentral. Lineage: Eukaryota; Viridiplantae; Streptophyta; Magnoliopsida; Poales; Poaceae.